RNAcentral lists this ribosomal RNA (595 nucleotides) under uncultured Burkholderia sp. RNAcentral describes it as "bacterial SSU rRNA". It matches the Rfam family "Bacterial small subunit ribosomal RNA", at positions 418 to 1003 of the family's 1533-position model. Lineage: Bacteria; Pseudomonadati; Pseudomonadota; Betaproteobacteria; Burkholderiales; Burkholderiaceae. The record is from RNAcentral.
UCGGGUUGUAAAGCACUUUUGUCCGGAAAGAAAACUUCUGCCCUAAUACGGUGGGAGGAUGACGGUACCGGAAGAAUAAGCACCGGCUAACUACGUGCCAGCAGCCGCGGUAAUACGUAGGGUGCGAGCGUUAAUCGGAAUUACUGGGCGUAAAGCGUGCGCAGGCGGUUCGUUAAGACAGAUGUGAAAUCCCCGGGCUUAACCUGGGAACUGCAUUUGUGACUGGCGAGCUAGAGUAUGGCAGAGGGGGGGUAGAAUUUCCACGUGUAGCAGUGAAAUGCGUAGAGAUGUGGAGGAAUACCGAUGGCGAAGGCAGCCCCCCUGGGCCAAUACUGACGCUCAUGCACGAAAGCGUGGGGAGCAAACAGGAUUAGAUACCCUGGUAGUCCACGCCCUAAACGAUGUCAACUAGUUGUUGGGGAUUCAUUUCCUUAGUAACGUAGCUAACGCGUGAAGUUGACCGCCUGGGGAGUACGGUCGCAAGAUUAAAACUCAAAGGAAUUGACGGGGACCCGCACAAGCGGUGGAUGAUGUGGAUUAAUUCGAUGCAACGUGAAAAACCUUACCUACCCUUGACAUGGUCGGAACCCUGCUG